ACAGAGGUCCCAAGCGUUGUUCGGAUUCACUGGGCGUAAAGGGUGCGUAGGCGGUCGGGUAAGUCUGACGUGAAAUCUCCGGGCCUAACCCGGAAACUGCGUUGGAUACUAUCCGGCUAGAGGAAUGGAGGGGAGACUGGAAUACUUGGUGUAGCAGUGAAAUGCGUAGAUAUCAAGUGGAACACCAGUGGCGAAGGCGAGUCUCUGGACAUUUCCUGACGCUGAGGCACGAAAGCCAGGGGAGCAAACGGGAUUAGAUACCCCGGUAGUCCUGGCCCUAAACGGUGCACGUUUGCUGUAAGCGGAAUCGACCCCGCUUGUGGCGUAGUUAACACGAUAAACGUGCCGCCUGGGAAGUACGGCCGCAAGGUUA
This 373-nucleotide ribosomal RNA is filed under the name uncultured bacterium. RNAcentral's name for it is "bacterial SSU rRNA". It matches the Rfam family "Bacterial small subunit ribosomal RNA", at positions 525 to 896 of the family's 1533-position model. The record is from RNAcentral.